RNAcentral lists this ribosomal RNA (465 nucleotides) under uncultured bacterium. Its description in RNAcentral is "partial 16S ribosomal RNA". It matches the Rfam family "Bacterial small subunit ribosomal RNA", at positions 28 to 507 of the family's 1533-position model. The record is from RNAcentral.
GACGAACGCUGGCGGCGUGCUUAACACAUGCAAGUCGAACGGAAAGGCCCCUUUGGGGGUACUCGAGUGGCGAACGGGUGAGUAACACGUGAGUAACCUGCCCUUGACUUCGGGAUAACUUCAGGAAACUGGGGCUAAUACCGGGUAGGAAUCCUUGCUGCAUGGUGGGGGUUGGAAAGCUUCGGCGGUUUUGGAUGGACUCGCGGCUUAUCAGCUUGUUGGUGGGGUAGUGGCUUACCAAGGCUUUGACGGGUAGCCGGCCUGAGAGGGCGACCGGCCACAUUGGGACUGAGAUACGGCCCAGACUCCUACGGGAGGCAGCAGUGGGGAAUAUUGCACAAUGGGCGGAAGCCUGAUGCAGCAACGCCGCGUGCGGGAUGACGGCCUUCGGGUUGGAAACCGCUUUCAGCAGGGGCGAAGCUUGUGGUGACGGUACCUGCAGAAGAAGCACCGGCUAACUACGUG